GAAAUAAUGCGAUGUAUUCAAUGAUUUUCCCCCAAGCAUUUAGACAUAAUGUCGCAGGCUCUGUGUGAGGCCUUGGGGACACAUACACUCUGUUCUCAUGGAGCACAGAGACUGGAGGGAAUGUCAGACAUUAAUCACAUAAUCAUGUAAAUGAGUAUGUAAUGACAAAAAUGAGAAACGGGUGUGGGUGCAUAGGGAGGAACAGCUUGUGUGGCUGGGGCUCAGGGAGCCAAGGGGAAGAAGAUGGAGCAAGGUGAGCUGUGGGUGAGAGGAGCGGGGAGGCCAGAUCAGGCAGGCCCAUCACCCCGUGUGGUGCAUUUCCAGAACAGAAAGUCUUGCAGAGAUUAAGCCAGAAGGUGACCUUAACAGGAAAUGAUACCCCAAAAUAUGGCCAUUUGGCACACUGAAUAUCUUAAGCUGAAGGAAUCUGAAGAAACUGGCAGAAGCGGAAGUUCUCUCUGUCCUCCAGUCCUUCAUCCCCGAAGCCGCUCGUGGCCCUCAGGUACUUCCUGUUAUUUGAACAAGGGAAUGCUUCCUAAAGACAAAGCGCUCAAUUGGAUGGAGGAUACACCACUCAAUCAAAAAGGGACCAUGUUCUCAAGGACCUUGAGGUCUACUGGAAAAGAAAACAGAGACAACAUGCUAUUGGUUUUGGAGAAGGAUGAGAUGGCAUCCUGCUGUGGGAAAGCAAAGCUGGUCUUGAGUAGGAGGUUAUAGUUAAGCUAAAAGAUAAAAGAUGGGUAUUUUGGUAUUUUCGCUUUCAUUCAGUGUUCUCUGUCCUACUUCGUCUGGAAAACCUGACA
This is a long non-coding RNA of Bubalus bubalis (water buffalo), 803 nucleotides long. RefSeq lists it as uncharacterized. The transcript has 3 exons. The record is from RefSeq and is a predicted model, not a curated record. Lineage: Eukaryota; Metazoa; Chordata; Mammalia; Artiodactyla; Bovidae.